Non-coding RNA from Meleagris gallopavo (turkey), 4624 nucleotides. NCBI's taxonomy places the organism in Eukaryota, Metazoa, Chordata, Aves, Galliformes, Phasianidae. The record is from RefSeq and is a predicted model, not a curated record.
GACAGAUCAUUGACCAGGCUGGAAAUAGAAAAUCUGCCUGUUUAAAAGCAGAGGGACAAGUCCUGCCUCCAGCAAUGUGUGCACCUGGUGGGCAGGGGGAGGCUGUGCCUGCACUAACAUGUAAGCAUGGGUGAACUGAUGCUGGCCUCGUUCAGCCAAUUCAGGAAGGAUGUAAGCUUCACUAGAGAUUCACAUACGCCUAAAUUGAGGCAUGUACCUGGGUCUGAUGGUGUCAUGGGCAUCUGCAGGCUGGUUUCUGGGCUUGUGCCAAAUCUCACAGCUCACCACGCAGCUCCGCAGGGCGCAGUUUGCACACCUAGCACCUUAAGUGAGUUCCUGCAAGUUUAAAGAGAACCAUCACCUUCAGAUAUCUCCUCUAUCUGAAAGCAUCUCAGGAUACUGCUGCCUCAGGUAAUGCUGCUAUACACACAAAAUCAGAGUGUCCCUGUACUGCUGAUAAACCUUUCCCUGUUGUAUUCCACUGGGAGCUGUUAGCAGUGCUGUGUGACAUCCAGAGAGAAGGCGCGUUUAACACAACAGCAAGCACUCAGACAAUUUAAAUGAUCCCAUAAAAGCUGCAAUUACCAUCAGGACAAAUCCAGCUCUGAUUGACUCCCACGUUAGCUCCCAAAGUUUGAUUCCCAGCUGCAAGGAUGCAACUACGUUCACAGAUAAGAUUUGUCUGCUGUUGUUUAUCCUAUCUUCACUGAAGCACUGUUUUUGUUACUGGGAGAAAUGCAAGAGAGGAGCACAUUAUAGCAUUCGUAGCAUUAAAAAGACCUUCUGUUUUUUCUGGCAUGUCUCUGCUUGCUUGGAUAAUUCUCAAGAGAAAGGAUAAGACAGUAGUCAACCAUAUCAUCAGAAAGAAGCAGAUUGCAGGUGGUCCUCCAGAGAAUCCUGGCACGGGAGCUGGCAGAGAUCUAACAAUCAGAUCUGACCUGUAUCCCUACUUUCCAGAUUGUCUCAUCCCUGGCUCCCUGACUUCUUGCCUGCCAUUCUGAACCCCUCAGAACACUCAAGACAACAUUACACACAAUGUGCACUCACAAUGUGCACUCAAGCUUCCCUGCUUUCUCGUGGACAUCCAGCACCAAAUGGGUGGAGAUAUCAGGGCCAUCACACCCACCCUCCAGAAGUGGCCAGCCUGCUUGGUAAGGGAUGUGAUAUGCCACUAAGGCAUCUCCUUGUGUAGGGUAGGCUGGAGCCAGUUGACUUCCUACUUUGAGAUGGUUUGAUUUCCUGCUCUAAUCUCUACCUACAAAGAAAUGUCCCAAAUGUACUGAAGUGAAAUGAAAUGGAAUAGUGGGAAUAGUGUAGUUCUCAACACUACGUAGGAAAUGUAUAGAGUAAUAAGAGUUUACACUCUGAAGCUAAGAAUUGGCUCAGAGAUGGAUAAAAAUUACCAUGAUGUAUUCCUGCUGUUUUCAGUCAAGACGAAUUCUUCUGCUUAUUCAUAGUCUAUUUUAAAAUGCACCUUUACUUUUCUUCUCCUACCAGUUUUAUUCAAAUGUAAAUCUAUUGACUUUAGCAGAGUUCUGAUAUUUGUCUCAUUUCCUCAGUGUAUUUUUCAGUCUUAUGCAUGACUUUUCCUCCUGAAACACCCAACGAAGAAAAACCCACUAAGGUCUACGAUAUACAAACUGAAGCACCUUCAAAUUGCUGGAGGCUGAGGGGGCAUUACUGCACACUGACUUUGUCUUAGUCCCUUUUGUAGGCCUCUGCUGCCAGAUGUAAUAUUGAACUGGGUGUACCCAUCUAUAUGCAUAGGGAAGUAUUUGUUGUACUCUUCUGAUUGCUACUCUACAGUUAAAGCAUUGGAAUCCUCUUUUAAGGGGACUUAUACACUGAGCUAUUUUCAGAGUUCAGAAAUAAAAACACAAAUAAAAAAAUUCAGCAUGAUUAAUAAUUGUUUGUUUUCUUUUUAAAAAAAGACUGAUGACCAAGAUAAAAAAAAUAAAAACUGUGAAAACAACACCCUUGUUCCUCUACUCUACAAUGACAUAUGGCUAAACACAAAAAAGAAGAAUGGUCAGUCUUUUACAUAUAAAAAGAGAGUUCCUACUGGAUUUAUCACGGCAAUACUCCUGUAGUGAGCCAGAAAUCAUAGAGACAUCUACGAUUAGAAAAUCAUAUAAGAAAUUUUGCUUCUAGAAAGAGAAUGGUCAAGGUUGCUGGGAAAACAAAGAAGAAAGCUUGUAUUCAUACUGUGCUACCAUAGCCUUGGAUGAACACUUGGGUCUUCAAUUUUAGCAGAGUCAAAUACUACAGUGCUUAGAAGCAGAAAUACAAAUAUUUGCACUUAGAAUUAAUGCUUUUAUUCUUGUAUCACUGCAUAUCUGCUGGUACAUUUUCAAGUACAGAAUCAGAAAUGAGAUAAACCUGGCAGUUUAGGAUGCUAAAAGAAAGGAAAGUACAACUUUGUGGUACUGUCUGGUGUCUGAGAGCUGGGAUAAUCCCAUUUCAUUUCUCAUGAACAGCUUAGAGAGAUUUCCUUAUCUCUUUUUUUUUUUUUUUUGGAGAGUAGUGAGGGUGGAAUCUGUGCACUCACUGUGAUUGAAAGUAUCCUCAGAUGGGGGAGAAGCAAGAAAGCCUUUCUUUCGAUUAUCCAGCAAUGUAGUUGUUAGAGUAGCAGGGGCAGAGAUUGUCACUGCCUGGGAAAAUACUGCUGGCAACAGAAUGUUGAUCUGGUUGCAUGUGGCUUGUGGCUUUACUUCAGCUUACAGAAAGAGACUACUGUCAUCACAGAUAGCUGCAGAUAGGUGUUUAAAAUGAAAAUUAAUAAGGCAUCCCCGUUAAUGGUGCAUUCUGGUAUCUUUAUCACAGCAUGGUUUCUGUAGCAUUUUCAAUUAUCUUAUCAGUCCUCAAUGAUGGGCAAGGACACAGCAUUCUAGUACCAGGUAUGGAGCAAUGUUACUCUUUAAGUGAAAGAUGUGUGCUCAAAUGUUGAGUGUUGCCAAAAUCUAGCUGGUUCUGGUAUUCUCAUCUGCAGAAAUGUGGAAAGGCAGGAUUGUUUUAAAAUGUAUCUCCAAAUUUAAAUGGUUUGAGAGAUAUUAAUUCAGGAGUCAGUUAAAUUCAGUUCUUGCUGUGAAGGUAGUAAUUGGAGGCAGAGCUUUCCCACACAGCGGAAAUCAGAUUAAGCAUUCUGCUACUUAUUUUUUGUGCAUGUCUAUUUCACAUAGUGCAAAAUAUCCUUGCAGUUGUAUCCAUUCGGUUGUGGCCACCAAAUGAUGAAUAAUAACUAUAUGGCAGCCUGCUUGGCCUUUGGCUGUUUUUCUAAGCCUACAUAACAAAUUUGGCCAUCACAGUGGAAGAGCAGCUACACCCAAGUAAACAGUCUGAUUCAGAGUUUCUUUCCCUUGGCUAAAUGAAAUGCACACAGGAGAGUCAGCAACCCCCAGUUUGAAGAACACAGGAUUCACAAGUAGCAGCCUAUUGCAGAAAUAGACUGCUUUGCUGAGGGAGGACUUUUUUCUUCCGAGCUGUAAUAACCUUUCUCAAAGCAUGACAUUUGUUCACCCUUUCAAGGCUGGCAAUGAUGAAGGUCCUGGUCUCCAAAGACGUUCUGAGCUUUCCCAUCAUCCUGAUGACUGUGUCCUCUCCCAGGCUCAAAGAAUUGUCCUGGGUGCACAGCACAUCAGGGUCUCCCAGGGAACACUGUGCAACAGCCUGCAAGCAGCCCCUUGUUGCCACUAGCCAGGGUUGAGGCUGCUGCUGCACUUCUGUGAAACAAUGGGCUCAGCCAUAUUUCACUGUCAGUGUGGUGACAAAUGUUGGCCUCCUGAGACUCCCAGACAUAUGUAACUUGGCUGGCACUCAAUGGCAAAGGUCAUGAGUUGUCGUCUUGCAUCUCCAAGUUCAAUGAGAUGGUUUUGUGCUGUGUUAGUCUCUGUGUAUUAAGUUUCAGCAAAGAGAGGGUGGUGGAGGAGGAAAGAGAUUCUUAUCUGGAGUUAGGUGAUGUUAAAUGUUCUGAAUAAUUAGAUAAGAUUGUGUGUGCCAAACAGACUGUGUUUUCUGAUAAGAUGUCUCUGGUUCCCUCUGCCUCCCUGCCCUCCAGGACAUGCAUGCAUGCACACACCCGCACAUUUUAAGUGGUUUCAGGGCUCAUUAAGUAAGCUUGGCUGAUAGCUGUAGAAAAUGUCAUUCGUUCUCAGUGGGCAGUGAAUCCAUGUUCUGUGCAUUUUUGGUAGUCUCAAAAAGUAGCUAAAGUAGAUGAAAAUUCACUUUCCAUAGUUGAUCUUUUAUUUUCAGCUUGGACUUUUUCAAGUCUGACUGAGCAGCACACAUUGUCUGGGCAUAAACCCAGAGCUUGCACCACAGUGUAAACUGCAGCAGCUCAGUUUGCUUUCAAAGCUCCUAUUGAAUUUCUGAAGAGAUGUGUGAAUUUUAUUGGGAACAGGCAUGUAAGGAUGUACACAAUAUCUCCCUGGCCUCCAUCUGAAAGGAGUCUGGACCAAAUCUGAAUCAUGUUGGAAAAUAUGAUGUGAAGACACAAUUGUGCAGGGAUCUCCAUACGGACCCAGCUCCUUCUGAGGCUGGAGAAGCCAGGAGGAGGACUAAUUUUACAUAUUCUGCCCAAGGCCAAGUCCACCCUCACUUAGCUGCUCCUAAAAGAAAGAAAACAUCA